This 448-nucleotide ribosomal RNA is filed under the name uncultured bacterium. RNAcentral's name for it is "bacterial SSU rRNA". It matches the Rfam family "Bacterial small subunit ribosomal RNA", at positions 29 to 524 of the family's 1533-position model. The record is from RNAcentral.
AACGAACGCUGGCGGCAUGCCUAACACAUGCAAGUCGAACGAAGCCUUCGGGCUUAGUGGCGCACGGGUGCGUAACACGUGGGAAUCUGCCCUUCGGUUCGGAAUAACAGUUAGAAAUGACUGCUAAUACCGGAUGAUGACGUAAGUCCAAAGAUUUAUCACCGAAGGAUGAGCCCGCGUAGGAUUAGGUAGUUGGUAGGGUAAUGGCCUACCAAGCCGACGAUCCUUAGCUGGUCUGAGAGGAUGAUCAGCCACACUGGGACUGAGACACGGCCCAGACUCCUACGGGAGGCAGCAGUGGGGAAUAUUGGACAAUGGGCGAAAGCCUGAUCCAGCAAUGCCGCGUGAGUGAUGAAGGCCUUAGGGUGUAAAGCUCUUUACCAGGGAUGAUAAUGACAGUACCUGGAGAAUAAGCUCCGGCUAACUCCGUGCCAGCAGCCGCGGUAAU